AGAAACAGGCAGAUGAGCAACCAUGGAUCCAGAUCCUUUGGAGUCACUUCCUGGCAGAUGCCACAUCUAAGGACAUCCCAUGCCCUGCCAAGGGCUGUUUGGAUAUUCCAGCAGACUCUGGAUCAGGGGAAGCAGCUCAGCUUGGAAACAGAAUUGUCCACAGAUAGAUAGAAAUAGAACCUGUGAGCUGAAAACUAUGACUGAUGCUCUGUUCCCUGGCCUGGCCCAGGGCUUCCUUCUGAUGAAGUCAGCACUGCUGUGAACAGCGAGGAUUGCCAGAGAUGCCUGCUCAGGUCUCAGAAAUAAGAACAGACGCCUGUCCAUUGACAGUUGUGUUCACUAGGGCUCUCUGUAUGCAGAUUUCUGCGGGGGAGGUGACAGAGAAUAAAAGACAUGGCACUUGAAACCAGCCGUCAAUUUCUGAACGUUGGGAAGGAGUGAGGACCAGUACUUCCCAGGAUCCAGUGCUGUCACCUGCUGAGCCCAAGUGGGAGGGUAUGGUGACACUGCUGUCAGGAGGGAUCAAGGCUCCCAAAGUCCAAAAUGCAGAAGAUAGCCACCAAGGAUUUGCUGAACAUGAGCCCAGGAAAGGCGGAACCAAGUUCGUGUUCCCGACACCCAGCGAGGCUGAGCAAACUGAGAAGUUGGAGUUUGGAGCAGAGAAAGGUUGGUUGUAGCGCCCAGCAAGGAAAACAGACAAGUUAUACUCGAAAAGACACCGACUCCCUGAUGGUUUUCAAGCAAGAGUUUUUAAAGUAACUGUUGGAAUCUGUCUGCCCUUUGGAACUCAGGGAAGGUCUAGGAGACGGAAAGUUUUUUCCUACACAUCACAAAGGACCCAGAAAGGCUUUCGUACCAGGACCAUCCUCUCGUUGCUACAAACCUUCGGCGUCUCAGCGUUUUGGCUCCUGUACGUCAGGCAAGAACCUGGUUUGGAUGCAAAUUUGGGGAACCAGCCAGGAGGAUAAACCUGUGCAAAGAAGAUAGAAGAUUUUGCCCAAACAGGAAAAGAAGAUUUUGCCCAAACAGGAAAGGAAGAUGAGAGAAACCUGUUUUGCUUGAUUCACAUGCAAAGGAGUCAUUGCUCUUGUGUUGCCAGUGCUGUGAGGUCAGCCAACACUCUGCCUUCUUCUCUACCCUGGAAGAUGGUAUUGCUGCUCUUUCCCUGCCAGGGUAUGAGCCACAGCCUCAGGCUCUGGUGCCCCCUGGUCUCUGAGGGUCAAGAAAGAAAUAGAAGGGGUCUCCCCCCUCCUCAUUAACCUGCUGGGGUACUGACUUGGCCAGGGAGCCACCACUCAGGUGGGGCAACAUCGCUUAAGCCAAGUUCCCCCUGGGGAUGUGAAUGCUGAGACUGGGCAAAGGUGAUGGGAUGGAUCUGGGUCCACUCCCUGUUUCCAGGUUCAGAUUUAAUUGGAAGAACCAUAUGCCAACUUAAAAGACCCCAAGAGAAUGGAGAUCUUCCUUCACCGAUCUGUGCAAACCAACACGGGCAGCUGUUCAAAGCUUACUACAUACCCUGCUCACUUCAGAUGGACACAGAAUGUUGGAUAAGCCUGGGGAAGGAGGCAUGUCUGCCCCAUACAAAACCCCCUGGCCACCCAGGACAGGCCACAGCAAACAUAGCCGUACCUUCAGUGGAUCCCAGUUGGAUGUGAAUGCUGGGGAGAGACCCGAACUUGACUGACACAGAGAAUGCAUUUUUGCAGGACUGCAAAGAGGGUGCAAGAUGAGCCUCCGUAAAGUAUAGAAGAAUUAACUACUUCCGUUUGUAGGUGAUGAAAUGUGUAAAGAAGCCACUUCACAUGCUGGCACUGCUAUGAACCUGGUCUUUCCCUUCAGCUCAGUUACUUGUGAUUCCUGGCGACAGUCCACGUCUGGGAAGUGGUCUGAAGACCAUCUUCAUGCUUUCUAGUUAAGAUCUACAACCAGGCUCUAUGUCCUCCAGGAAGGCUACACAGCGUGGAUCUAAACAUUAUGUAUUAAACUAAGGGGCAUCCUUCCAAGCUGCUCUCGUGAAGCUGGUUUCCUGCAAGCGAUGGUUUAUGACCAGUCAUAACUGUUUUUGGUACCUUUGCCUUUGGGGCCUUCAACAGUGUUUGCACUGAUGCAUAUCCAUCCGUGAGGGAUUUGGAGUUCCUGGUGGCUCAGUGGGUUAAGGACCCAGCAUUGUCACUUGCUGUGGCUCUGGUUACUGCUGUGGCAUGCGUUCAGUCAAAAGCAAACAACACCAAUGAGUGAGUCGUCAUUGUUCCCCUCUGUCCUACUAUCUUCCCCUCUACCUCUGGAUACAGCCCGUCCACAAUCUCCCGGACCUUGUAGACGUCAGAGAACAUCUUGCCAUGGCUGACAGAUGAUCAUGAUGGUGGCUGGAGGGACUGGCUUAGCAGGAACUAGGAGCCCAGAGCAAGUGUGGUGCUGCCAGGGCAGAGCUCCAGGGCAGGUGGGGAGUGGAAGGGAAAAAGCAACUUGGAACUUUUUAUAGAACGAGGCUAGAAGGUGUCCAAGAAAAAGGCAGUUCUCAGCCUUUUAGUAAAUACUUGGGUUCUGAACUCUCACAAAGACUUGCUCCCUGGUGGAAGGGGAAGUGCUAGACCUGGGGAGAUUCCUGGGGAUGGCCAGGUUCUGCUGUACCUGGAUCCCCAACUUCGGAGAGAUAGCCAAACCCCUUUGGGAAGUUUUAGAGGAGACAAUGAACCUCUAGACGAAAGUCUUGGAAGAAUAAACAUUCAGAAAACCAGCUCUAACCUCACAGGCCUUGAGGAACGUGAUGGGGAAGCAAAAACCACACUUGCCACAGAAGGAAACUUGGAACUGAGGUCAUUCAAACCUGAGCUGGUUCCAGACCUCCGACCCUCGACACUAACUUCUCCAAAUGAGCCAGUGAAACACUUGCAUCUUAAGUUGCUUUUCAAAAAGAAGCCUGGACAAAAGUUAAGGUGAGUGGAAUUCAUGCAGUGGUGGCUUGGGUAACUUUCAGAAGGCAAUUUAAACAACCUGUUAGGUGACCAGGAUGAUUGUUCUCUUUAGUUAAUGCCUCCUCGUGGCUUCUAACCUCCCAGGCUUAGAAGGACAAUUCAGUGAUGCGGACCUGUCAGAGUUUGGCCAAAGUAGGUAAUCUUUGUAGCUGUAGCAUGUGUCACCCAAAACCUUAUUUUGUAUUGGAUCAAGCUCACCCCUUGAUUGUGCCUGUCAUUAACUUUUUGACCCUCCCUAAUUUCACUGCAUCUUCAGAUAUCAGUUAAGGCUAAUAACAGAAUUUCCUGUCUCCUGUUUUUUCUUGACUGAAAUUUGGUCAUCUCAAGUCCUAAGAUUUUUUUUUUUUUUAAAGACACUGGAGUUCCCAUUGUGGCUCAACAGGCUAAGAACCCAACACUGUGUCCAUGAGGAUGUGGGUUCAAUCCCAGGUCCCGCUCAGUGGGUUAAGGAUCUGGCAUCACAAGCUGUGGCAUAGGUCUCAGAAGCAGAUGGAAUCCAAUGUUGCUGAGGCACAGGCUGGCAGCUACAGCUCCAUGUCAACCCCUAGCACGGGAACUUCCAUAUGCUGCAGGUGCAGCUGUAAAAAGAAGAAAAAAAGACAGUUAAUGUCUACCCCUAGCAAAGUUCUACUUGGUCAGAAUACUAUAGAAACUGUAUUUAUCUCCCAGGCUACAUUCCUUCCAUAUUUAAUAUUGAACUUCAGAUGUCUGGCAUUCUGUGUGCCUCCUCAGUGUACAUCUUGGCAGUUUUGACUUCCAUUACUGAUUUUGGGCCUGUGAAUGCCUUGAUCACUGGUGUGUAGGUUUUAACUGUUCCCUGAGAUCAAAAUGGGAACUUCAAUCUGGGAACAAAUGAAGAGUCUCAAAUGAGUGCUGAACAGUUCGAUUCCUCAAGUUACGCCCCUUAUCAGCGGGAAGUAGCCAGGAUGGUUGUCAGCCUUAUUCAUCAAGAUUGAGGAAUGAUCCAAAAAUACGGGGAACUGAAACCAUGGAUUAAAUCCAUUGCACCUAGUUAAGGUCCUUUGAAGACCUGCAUGUCCUCCAAGCAGCCCAGAGCCAAACCAGAAGAUGUUUGCCUGAGUCAUUUUUUAGGAACUUGGAGUCAGUUAUGUCUAGUUUGAGCUGAGUUGGUUGAGACCGGGGGGACCACCCACCCUUCAGCCAGGAUGGGGGACGGGCCCCUCUGUGACCUUUUGGUCAUGCAGAGGCCUGUAGCUGAGUUACAUCUACACAGAAUUAUCAUACCUAUUCCCAAUGGCCUUCUCCACGCCCCCCCCCCCCACAACUUCAUGCCUCUGAUGGCCUUGCUGCUUAUUCUUGAUCUCAUAAGUGACCCAAGCCCCUUGCCUUCGGGGAGGCAGAUUUGAGAUUUGCUCUGUCUCCUCAGUUAGCUGCCUUUCAAAUCCUCUUUGCUGCAAGCCUGUUUCUCAGUGUUUUGGCCUGCUGUGCAUCGGACAAAAGCAGCUUGGUUUUGUGUAGGGCCUUCUGCAGAUACCAAACUCGGAGGUAAAAGUGAUGGAGGCUGUCAGCCCCCAUUUUACAGAUGGGGAAACUGAGACUCGAGGUUACAAAGUCUGAACGCAAGCCCAGGUCUCCCUGGCUCUACACCUGUACUGCUAACAUCUUAGUAUUUCUGGGCAUGUCCUGGGUGUUUAAUUUCAAUACUUGUGAACUAAGAUUGAAGCUUCAGUCCACUGCUUCAAGGAAAAUACUUUUCACUGUC
RNAcentral lists this long non-coding RNA (4698 nucleotides) under Sus scrofa (pig). RNAcentral's name for it is "lncRNA (ENSSSCG00000052241.1)". The record is from RNAcentral. Lineage: Eukaryota; Metazoa; Chordata; Mammalia; Artiodactyla; Suidae.